This 293-nucleotide long non-coding RNA is filed under the name Mytilus galloprovincialis (Mediterranean mussel). Lineage: Eukaryota; Metazoa; Mollusca; Bivalvia; Mytilida; Mytilidae. The record is from RNAcentral.
GGGGGGGGGGGGGGGGGCUAUGGUUUUUUUUGGAAAAAAAAGUUUGUUUCCAGUUUUUGGAGAAAAAAAUAACUUGUUUUUGAUUAUGAGAAAAAAAAAAUUGUUUGUUUCACCCUCAGCUGCCACUAUAUGUAAUGCUAAAAUUGAAAGAAAAAAAUUGUUUUCGACUUGUCGUGAAAAAAAUAGAUUGUUUUUCGCCGCAGGCCAAAAAAAAAAAUUUGUCCAGAAAAAAAACCCAUAGCCCCCCCCCCCCCCCCCCCCCCCCCCCCCAGAAAAUCAAAUGGUUGCUGCCU